This 22-nucleotide microRNA is filed under the name Haliotis rufescens (red abalone). RNAcentral's name for it is "Hru-Mir-1988_5p (mature (co-guide))". Lineage: Eukaryota; Metazoa; Mollusca; Gastropoda; Lepetellida; Haliotidae. RNAcentral also lists the same sequence under 1 other name. The record is from RNAcentral.
AGUGGUUUUCCGUUGCACAUGC